Cynoglossus semilaevis (tongue sole) is the source of this 2936-nucleotide long non-coding RNA. RefSeq lists it as uncharacterized. NCBI's taxonomy places the organism in Eukaryota, Metazoa, Chordata, Actinopteri, Pleuronectiformes, Cynoglossidae. The transcript is spliced from 3 exons. The record is from RefSeq and is a predicted model, not a curated record.
UGGGCAAUUGCACUAAGGUGACUGUGGGGCUACUGGUCGACACCUGGCCUGCAGCUACGGAUGCCUGGAGUAAAUGUAAAUCAUAUACCCUUUACCUUCAACAGACUAAAGGUUAAAUAAAGACGUUGUUUGGACCGAGUCAAGUUGUGUCCUCUCUGCCUCACAGCUGUCCAGUACCAGGACAUGACAGUGGUGAGUUUGUGCCACACUGAACCUUCAGGUCAUAACGUGUCAUUCUGGACGCACUGACUCUUCCCGGCAGAGGCCGAUGCUGCAGCUCAGUGACACAGAGCGUGAGGUCAUCCAUCAGAGAAGGCUAGUGUCUGUUAAUGUGUCACGACUGACUAAAGACAUGGUCACAGUCAAGGACAGGACAACGGAACAGCUACAUUUGGACGUCCUGUGGUUUCAUGGGAGGAGAACGGGGCAUGUUUGUAAAGGAUCGCAAGUUUGAAUCCCAUGUGCCGUGCUCCAGAAAACCCCUCCUCCUCCUCCCCUCUCCAUCCCCCCAGGAAUCAGUUGAUGGUUUAAACAAAGCAGAGGACAAUACAGUUGGUCAUUCUUCUUUUUCUAUUGAAUUAUUCCUCAAAUGCUUUUAUACACAGCAAAAGAAUAAUAAAAAAAAACAUGUUAACAUCAGUGUUACUAAGAGCCACAUGAUGGAUGAGAGCUUGGUUUUCUCCAGGCACUCCCACGGUCUACAAAUGUGCAGGAUCAGGUUCAUCGUUCAUUCUAAAUGUAGGCGUGAAUGAAUCUUUUUAGAUUCACGGAGAUAAAUAGGCCGUCAUAACAAUAACAACAUUAUGUUUUCAUUUACUUCCAGUAAGUUAGGUCUGUGCACUCACAUACAGCCAACACUGAUCUAAUACAUGCCAUAUAUGUUAUAUUUUAAUUUCCUUCUCAGGUUCACAAUAACUAAUAAAAGAAACCUUGACCUUGACCUUGAGGUUGAGGUUGAAGCCAAUCCCAGCAGUCACCAAGUGAGGGCAGGGUCCAGGUCGUAUAUAUAUAUGUAUAUAUGUAUAUAUGUAUUCACACUCACAUUCACACCAACAACAUGGUCAGUUUACCCCAUAUGUUUCACAAUAUGUUCCAUUAUUUUCUUCUUCUUCUUCUUGUUUUUUUUAUUUUUUGGAGAAAGUUUCAAGUUCCCCCAGACUUGAUGGUCUUCAGGCCUGGACCAUGGGCUUCACUCCAUAGACUCUGGUAGGACUGACUAAGGUAAAUCCAAGUCCUGCAGUUUUCACAGUCGGUCUUUACAGGGAUUUCUUCUAAUUCCUUUGAUAUUUUCCUUUUGAAAUAUUUGAGUGUAGAUGGCAACAGGACUAAAUGAUCAUUUCUAAAUUCUUGUGCUAAUUCACAGACAGAUUUCCAUUCUUGCUUGGAGACCAAGCCUUUUGCACAGAAAGUUUUCUCUAUACAGCGAUUGUGACAUUUGGGAAAUGUUUCACUUCCACCUGUGCCUUUGUUCUGAACAGCGUUGAUCUCUUUGAACUUCGUGAUAAAACUCCUUCCCCCUGUUCUUGACACGUGGAAACAUUUUCCACACUUUUGUGCGUCCUUCUCUUUCUUUGUCAGCGUAAAACAUUUUUCCUUCUGAAGUCCUUUGUUGUUGACACAAUGCCUUCACGAGUGACGGCUCAGACUAUGAACUCUGAAAGCUCUUUUAUGUCGAGUGUAUUUGAAAGAUAGAGUUUGGGCUCGUGGUUCGCAGGGUUACUGUUUUAAUGUGUAUCGUUGGUUUGUGUUACGGUCUGAAACACUCUCCCAGCUUUAGGGAAAUGGAUUGUUUUUGUUUCAAGGUAAACCAUUACACCUCCUAGAUUAAGCUCAUGUAUUUUGCUCUGAGAUUCAUAAAAUAUCUCGCACUGAACCAAGUCAACAUGAAAAAACUGUAUUUAUUGUUUGCCACAUAUAUAUGUAUAUAUAAAUAUACCAAAAAGCCAUGGGAAAUCAAAUCAUGCUGUCGUCCCUCACCUCUGUUUUGCUGCCGAGUUCAAAGGUUGCCAUGGCUACCAGCAUCCCAGCAGGACCAAGGUGCGCUCUGCCCCGGAGCCAUCAGAGUAAACGUGCUCUGCCGACGGGUGGUGAGAAUACAUUGACCUCUGACCCAUCAAGGCCCUUGUAGUGCUGGUGAACAGGGAGCAGAGGAGGUGGAGGAGAUGUUGUAAAUUCAUCUGAUCCCGCUCACAGGAGCCACAGGCUGGUGGGGGCGUAGUGGCCUCGUCGCGUCUGAGCCCUGAGACUCAGGCCAGCUGUCUCCAGGAUUUCAGAGGAGGCCGUGGGCGAGAGAGAUAGCCUGCCCUCUAAUCCACAGAGUCUCUCUCACCUUGUUUCGCAGAUAGUUCCAUGUAUUGUGUCAGAUCUUUGCACCUGUCACAUGCUGCAGCUCGCACCAGAGAUGCUGUGUGUGUGUGUGUGUGUGCGCACAAAUGUGUGUCAUAACAGCUCAGAUGAAAAGAGAGUAAAAGACACAGAAAUAUGGUGCAGAUUUGAUUUUUUUUCACUAUAAAAAGUAUUUAAAAAUAUAUAUAUUUACUCUAAAUACAAGUUUGAUACAACAGGUCACCAUCACAUAUAUUUAAUACACAAUCUUCAAGUCCAACAUUUCAGUUAACGACUUAAGAACGUCAACGUUUUGAGCAGUUUGGAGUAGUGUUUUAACAUCAGGGACAAAGACAGGAGCAAAGCUUACUGUAAGACAAUACGACCGUAUGAAACACCUGAAGACACGUCUUCUGUACUGUACUGAAUACACUCAUGUCUCCCAGAGAACAGAUGAGGAGUUCACACCUCACCAAGUCACGUUUUUGUUGAGACCUAUUGAACCAACAGUGUGUGUUCAUUUGUUUUUUAAUGAAACACGUUUAAACACAACAAUCACUUGUGUCUUCAAAAAUCAUUUUAUAUCUCUAUUGUCUAAUGACAACGACAAC